GAAAGGUUUCGGCCGGACAGAGAUGGGCAUGCGGCGCAUUAGGCAGUUGGCGGGGUAACGGCCCACCAAACCGACGAUGCGUAGGGGUUCUGAGAGGAAGGUCCCCCACACUGGUACUGAGACACGGACCAGACUCCUACGGGAGGCAGCAGUGAGGAAUAUUGGUCAAUGGCCGGAAGGCUAAACCAGCCAAGCCGCGUGAAGGACGAAGGUGCUAAGCAUUGUAAACUUCUUUUGUCAAGGGACAAAAUCAGGCUCGAGAGCCUGACCGAGGGUACUUGAAGAAAAAGCAUCGGCUAACUCCGUGCCAGCAGCCGCGGUAAUACGGAGGAUGCGAGCGUUAUCCGGAUUUAUUGGGUUUAAAGGGUGCGUAGGCGGGCUGUUAAGUCAGCGGUAAAAGCCCGGGGCUCAACCCCGGCGAGCCGUUGAAACUGGCGGUCUUGAGAGGCCGAGAGGUAUGCGGAAUGCGCAGUGUAGCGGUGAAAUGCUUAGAUAUUGCGCAGAACUCCGAUUGCGAAGGCAGCAUACCGGCGGCGAUCUGACGCUGAGGCACGAAAGCGUGGGUAUCGAACAGGAUUAGAUACCCUGGUAGUCCACGCAGUAAACGAUGAAUACUGGCUGUGUGGCCCGACAGAGG
RNAcentral lists this ribosomal RNA (637 nucleotides) under uncultured bacterium. RNAcentral describes it as "bacterial SSU rRNA". It matches the Rfam family "Bacterial small subunit ribosomal RNA", at positions 202 to 838 of the family's 1533-position model. The record is from RNAcentral.